Molecule: long non-coding RNA, 844 nt
Organism: Alnus glutinosa
Lineage: Eukaryota; Viridiplantae; Streptophyta; Magnoliopsida; Fagales; Betulaceae
Exons: 3
Source: RefSeq, a predicted model, not a curated record
UUCUCUUUUCUUCUCCUUUCUUCUCCUUUCUCACGCACCCACCAGCCUCCCUCUUCCUUUCUUUCUUCUACCCAUUUCUCCUACUUCUUCUGUGCACCAGCCCAUGAGAGAUUGUGAGGGAAAGAGAGACUGAGAGACCGAGAGCGAGCCGGGAGCCGAAACCCGCGACCCGUCGUGCAGUGCACAGAGCCGACGAAUGGCGGUUCCAAUGGCGACUCCGGCGAACCAAAGCCGAAAUCCGACGAUUUGAUGGUGAUUUCCGACGAUCCCAUGGCGAAACCCAUAACCCGAGCGACUCGAUCCACGAAGACCCGUUGAACCCGAGAGAGAGACCCGUGACCCGAACGACCCAAAGACCCGAUUCUCUAUGGGCGUUUUCUGGCGGCUCAGUGAGGGAUUUCCGGCAAUUUUGGGAUGAUUUCCGGCAUCUAGGCAGUGGAUCCUUCCUUCUUGAUUUCCGGAUCAUGUUCGGAUUGGGGACUUUAAUUGGUUCUCCAAUGUAGAGUCCAAGUGACUAGAGUCCAAGGAGUGUUCGAGUUGGAGUCCAAUGCAGCCAAGAUGAUGUUUCUUUGGCUGCAGGUACUUCGGUAUGGUCGAUGGGUCGGUAGCAGUGUGCUUGGGAUAUUAUGACUGAAGCUCGCCGCGACAGUCGUAAUUGUCGGACCACGGGUUGUCCACUAUUUUAUAGGUUUGGUAUGGCUUGUGACGUUUGUGUCACUUAUUCUUUGUUAAGCCAUUAUUGUUAUAGUGUUAAUAAGACUCAAACAGAUAGAUGUUAAAUGGCUCUUUGUUGUAAUUAAUUUGUGAUAGAUGUAUAAGUUGUAAUUUUCGCUAUUCAGAUUUA